Molecule: unclassified non-coding RNA, 337 nt
Filed under: Hevea brasiliensis (rubber tree)
Lineage: Eukaryota; Viridiplantae; Streptophyta; Magnoliopsida; Malpighiales; Euphorbiaceae
Source: RNAcentral
UCAUUAUAAAAGAAGAACCCCUUUUAAGUUUUAAUAUGGUUUAAAAACUGAAAUUAGUCUCAAUGAAACUUUAAUUAAAUUAAAAUUUGAAGUCUUUAUAAUGACUUUUUUAAUACUUACAAUUUUUUUAUUUAAAAACAAGCUUGUUUAUUAUAAACAAGCCAAGCUUGAGCUUAGCUCGUUUAUUAUUUAAACGAGCCAGGAGUUAGCCAAGCUCGCCGAGCUCUAUUUUAAUAAAAUUUAAACAAACCGAGCUCGAACCUUAAUAUUAAAGUUUGAAUCAAGCUUGAGCUUGAAACAUAUUCUUGCGAGCUAAGCCUGAACAAGCCAACGCUGG